This 500-nucleotide ribosomal RNA is filed under the name uncultured bacterium. RNAcentral describes it as "partial 16S ribosomal RNA". It matches the Rfam family "Bacterial small subunit ribosomal RNA", at positions 30 to 523 of the family's 1533-position model. The record is from RNAcentral.
AUUGAACGCUGGCGGCAGGCUUAACACAUGCAAGUCGAGCGGGGGAAGGUAGCUUGCUACCGGACCUAGCGGCGGACGGGUGAGUAAUGCUUAGGAAUCUGCCUAUUAGUGGGGGACAACAUCUCGAAAGGGAUGCUAAUACCGCAUACGUCCUACGGGAGAAAGCAGGGGAUCUUCGGACCUUGCGCUAAUAGAUGAGCCUAAGUCGGAUUAGCGAGUUGGUGGGGUAAAGGCCUACCAAGGCGACGAUCUGUAGCGGGUCUGAGAGGAUGAUCCGCCACACUGGGACUGAGACACGGCCCAGACUCCUACGGGAGGCAGCAGUGGGGAAUAUUGGACAAUGGGGGAACCCCGAUCCAGCCAUGCCGCGUGUGUGAAGAAGGCCUUAUGGUUGUAAAGCACUUUAAGCGAGGAGGAGGCUACUCUAGUUAAUACCUAGGGAUAGUGGACGUUACUCGCAGAAUAAGCACCGGCUAACUCUGUGCCAGCCGCCGCGGUAA